Long non-coding RNA from Carya illinoinensis, 4340 nucleotides. RefSeq lists it as uncharacterized. The record is from RefSeq and is a predicted model, not a curated record. The transcript is spliced from 3 exons. NCBI's taxonomy places the organism in Eukaryota, Viridiplantae, Streptophyta, Magnoliopsida, Fagales, Juglandaceae.
UAGAAAUUUUGCAUUUUGAAUGAGCUUGUAAAAUAAUGGGAGAGGACUUUUUGUCAGUAAUUAACGCAAUCAAAGGGUAAGCUAGCCAGAAAUAGAGAGAGCAAAUAUAUAUUUGGAGUAAAUGAUAAAUAGAGUAAGCUAGCCAUAAGGAGUGCGAACUGCGAAGGGCGAGGAGAUAAGGUUAGGUGAGGGAUGACAAGAACACGUGAAUCGGAAUCCGAUGGAGAAAAAUUAUAUCUGUGGGUUCCAGCAUAAGAAAAGAAUCCCAGAAAGAGAAGAAAAUAAAUAAAUAGACCGGGUCACAGUUCACGGGUGUUACAGGGACAGAUCCCAAAUUUCAAAUACAACCCAAGAUAUUUUAUGUUCUGUCAAGACGGUCAGAGAAUCGUCCCUAUCCAUCUCUCCCCGCAAAACUCAACCAAGAAACAAACAAUGAAUGUCUUCACAGUUCAUUUGCGAAUUUAAAGGAUAUCUGCAACCGUCGAAAUCUGGGUUCAGUGAAAAUGCCUGGCGAGGGUUUGCUAACCGAGAGAGAGAGGAAGAGAAAAUCUCAGUUUGCAUAGAUGGUCUGCCGAGAUGGGGAAGAACCUAACUUUGCUGCCUUCUGAUGUUGCGAACUGUCAAAGUAGGGACUGAGCUACUUGUUCUUCUUCUUUUCGUUCUCGUUUUGUCUUUACAUAUUUUUAUUCGGCUGCCGUGGCACCACUUGACGUCAGCCGACUGCUCAGCGAUUACAAUAUAGCGAUUGCACCUAGAAGAACUGGCCUGCAAACAUUCUCCAGGAACUCUACGUGAGCUUCCAUUAAUGGCUUUCAUGACCACUGAUCAGACAGCACUGCCGUCAUCAUCUUCUUCUUCUUCGCCAACUCGAUGGAAAUAUGAUGUUUUCCUUUGUUUCCAUGGUGAGGACACCCGUAAGAGUUUUACAGCACAUUUAUAUACUGCUUUGGAACAGAAAGGCAUUUACACCUUUAGGGAUGAUGAAAAACUAGAGCGUGGACAAUAUAUUUCUCUGGAACUCUUGAAAGCAAUCAAAGAAUCCAAGUAUGCCAUCAUUGUCUUCUCAAUAAACUACAUUUUUUCAAAGUGGUGUUUGAUUGAGCUUGCCAAGAUCGCUGAAUGCAUGAAAGAAACGGGCUGACGGUUUUUCCUGUCUUCUAUCACGUUGAUCCCUCUCACGUACGAAAUCAGAAGGGGACUUUUGCUGAAGCCUUUGUUAAACAUGGAGAGGAUCCAGAUAUUCACAAGAAGAUACAAACAUGGAGAGUUGCCUUGAAAGAAGUGGGCAAUAUUGCCGGAUGGCAUCUACAUGAUAGGGAUGAGUCAACAGCCAUUCAAGAAAUCACUGGAAAGAUACUUGGUCAAUUGAAUCGUAAAUGCUCAAACGUUUCAGAGAAACUUUUUGGAAUAGACUCCCCAAUUGAUCAGACGAGGAACUUACUUAAAAAAAAUUCUGAUGGUGUUUGCUUUGUAGGGAUUUGUGGAAUGGGUGGAAUAGGUAAAGACGCUAACGAUAUCGUGGGAUUGGUUCUCUGUGCUUCAUUCUCAGUACCAGAUCGACAAGUAUUCACAUGAGUUUCUUAAAAAUCUGGAAUCACAAGUACCUCAUGAGUAUGAUCUUAUUUGUCUUCUAGAUCCAUAUAAUUUCCCAGGCGGGAUUUUUUCCCAUGCGUAUUUUCCCACUAAAAAAGAACUCAAGUGGAUAUCACACCUACGUGGAUUCAAUUGGCUAUUCUACCUACCACGGUGGUGGCUUUGGAAUGCGAAUGGGAUGUCAAAGUGUCAUGGGUUAACGGCUACAAUAGCAAGCAAAUGGUCGUGCCUGGAGGUGCAUAAGUGUGCAAUCCAGGCGCAGUACCUGCAAGAUGCGCAAAAGAAAUCAUGUACCAUUCAUCGGUCUCAUUUUUUGACAACUGGCAUCUCUUCCACAAAGAUAUGGUCCGGGAAGAAGAUUGUAUGCGGCCAAAGGAAACAUUCUCAACUGAAAUAGAAGAAUGCAAUCCCAUGGAUUCAGGUUCUGCCUGUAAUGCUCGCCGCACAUUCAGGUUCAGCAACGAGCCGUCCGUAACGUUUAAGUUACCUUCAAACUUAUACGAGGAUUGUAACUGGCUGGGACUUGCUCUAUGUGCUUCUUUUUCAGUCGACAAGGACUCGGCUGCUAUCAUUGAAAAUCUGGAAACUUCACAGGAACUUAUUUGCCAUCUGGAAACUGAUAUUGGCAGCGUGGAACCUCUCCAUCAUGUCUACCACCCCACUAAAGAAGAUUUCAUGUUGUUUCAGCUGGGUAUGUUCAUGUGGGUAUCCUAUAUACCACGAGGAUCACUUCCAGAAUGGUUGAAUCAAUGCACUCGUAUUAAGGCGUCAAUUGCUAGUGACUGUCCAAAUUUGGCAGUGCAGAAGUGUGGAUUCCGUCUCAUAAACCUGCACGAUGAGGUUGAGUUUAAGCAAACAAUAAGGCACUGCGUGGCCUCACUUUCUGAUGCCUGGGGUCUAGAGCGUGGACAAUAUAUUUCUCUGGAACUCUUGAAAGCAAUCAAAGAAUCCAAGUAUGCCAUCAUCGUCUUCUUAAUAAACUACAUUUUUUCAAAGUGGUCUUUGAUUGAGCUUACCAAGAUCGCUGAAUGCAUGAAAGAAAACGGGCUAACAGUUUUUCUUGUCUUCUAUCACGUGGAUCCCUCUCACGUACGAAAUCAGAAGGGGACUUUUGCCGAAGCCUUUGUUAAACAUUGAGAGGAUCCAAAUAUCCACAUAAAGAAGAUACAAACAUGGAGAGUUGCCUUGAAAGAAGUACUGGGCAAUAUUGCCGGAUGGCAUCUACAUGAUAGGGAUGAGUCAACAGCCAUUCAAGAAAUCAUUGGAAAGAUACUUAGUUAAUUAUUGAAUCGUAAAUACUCAAACAUUUCAGAGGAACUUUUUGGAAUAGACGCCCUUGAUCAGAUGAGGAAUUUAGAAAAAGUUCUGAUGGUGUUUGCUUUUUAGGAAUUUGUGGGAUGGGUGGAAUAGGUAAACAACACUUGCAGAAGUGGUUUUCAACAGAAUCAGAAAUCAAUUUAAAGCUAUCAGCUUUAGUAGUUGUGUUAGAGAAGAGAGUACUAGAUAUCAUGGUCUAGUUUCUUUACAAAAGCAACUUCUCUCUCAAAAUCUCGAGGAAGAAAAAAUAAAUAUUUGGGAUUUCGUGGGAGAAUGAAUAUGAUAAAAAAUAGACUUUUCAGUAGAAAGGUUCUUCUUGUUCUUGACGAUGUAGAUAAAGAACAACAGCUAGAAGCAUUAGCAGGGAAUUAUGACUGGUUUGGUCCAUGGAGUAGAAUCAUUGUAACAAGUAGAGAUUGGAAUUUGUUAAAAAGACAUGUUGAUGAUAUAUAUAUAUAUAUAUGGCUAGGGGCCUUGGACAUGCAAAUGCUCUGGAGCUCUUUUAUUGGAAAGCCUUCAAGAAACCUUACCCCAAGGAAAAUUAUGUGGAUCUAUGCAAGGAGUUUGUGAAAUAUGCUAAUGGACUUCCUUUAUCUCUUAAAGUUUUAGGUUCUUCAUUGAAUGGUAGAGGAACAAAUGAAUGGGAAAGUGUCCAAGAUAAACUAAAAGCAAAUCCUAAUAUAGAAGUUUUAGAUAUACUUGAAAUAGGUUUCCAUAGCCUUAGGGUUGCAAAGAGAAGACUAUUUUUAGAUAUUGCAUGUUUCUUCAAAAGAUAUAUAGAAAAAGUUCUCAUAAUAGAUUUAUUGGAAAGUUCUGGUUAAGAAUAGGGUUGGCCAGGUUCUUCAGGAGAACUUUCCAAUAAAUCUAUUAUGAGAUCUUUUUCUAUAUAUCUUUUGAAGAAACAUGCAAUAUCUAAAAAUAGUCUUCUCUCUGCAACCCCAAGGCUAUGGAAACCUAUUUCAAGUAUGUCUAAAACUUCUAUAUUAGGAUUUUCUUUUAGUUUAUCUCGGGCACUUUCCCAUUCAUUUGUUCCUCUACCAUACAAUGAAGAACCUAAAACUUUAAGAGAUAAAGGAAGUCCAUUAGCAUAUUUCACAAACUCCUCGCAUAGAUGCACAUAAUUUUCCCCGGGGUAAGGUUUCUUGAAGGUUAUGAUCCAUGCUAUGGGUACGUACUGGAAUAUUGCCCAGUAAUGUAGUUCAUGCUCCAAGAACAGCUGCAGAAUGGGAUUUUUGGAGUAGGGAAUGAAGGUUGCUUAGAGAGAGAGAGAGAGAGAGCUGGUUAAUUUGAAAUAUAUUGAGGCUGUAGUGCCAAGAAAUAUCUUUUCUGAUAUGAAACUUUGUCUAGCUAGCUAGCAGUACAUGAUUUGGUCUUGCUUCUUUACCUGAACUACUACGGCUUGAAACAAUAAAAUAUUUUCUUGAGAAGCU